CCAGUUCCUCUGCAGUGUCUCCCCUGGAAAGUUCUCGAGCGUUCCCUAGCUUUGGGGCCGCGCCCGCCCAGAGAUCUGCCGAGUCAUGGUCCUUGUCCCGCGGCCCGCAGCGGGGGAUGGGGGCGGCCCCAGGGAGCCCCCGCGACGAGGCUGGGACUGAGGAAGGUUGAGGGGGGCUGAGCAAAGAAGCCCAGUCAUCAUCUCAAAUGUGACCCAAAAUAAAGACCCGUCCAUCCCGCGGGGUGGGCUAGGGUAGGUCGCGCCGGAGGGCAGGCGCUCAGUUCGCGCCCCAAGUCCACCGAACACGAGUUGGCGACCCGAGGCGACCGCGGGGGCUGAGGGGAAGGGGUGCAGGGCCGCAGCUCAGGAACGCGGGCCGCCCACCGGCUCCAGGUGCUGCGGCUCCGCGCCGGGUUUUGGCGCCUCCCGUCGGCGCCCCCCCCCCCCCCACCAACGGCGAGCGCCGCUACGUCACUAUCACAGUGCGCAGCCAGAGCCUUGAUCCCUCCGCCCGGCCUCUCAGGACGGCGGCCUGCUGCCCACCAGACUCGGCCCAGAACCCCAGUCUCAGCAGGAGGACAUUUUAGGACGGGACCUGGGUGACGCUAGGUAACUGGUUUUCUUUCCAGAGAGCAGAACAAGCGGGGAAAAGUAGUCCCUUCUCGGCGAUUCUGCGGAGGGAUCUCCUCGGGGCGGUGAACGCCGAUGUCUAUAUAAGGACGCGCCGGGUGUGGUGCAGCUAGUUCCGUCGCAGCCGCGAGUGCAGCCGUUCCUGUUUUUCGUCAGUUGCUGUCAUCUCCGCUUGACAAUGCAGAUCUUCGUGAAGACACUGACCGGCAAGACCAUCACCCUCGAGGUGGAGC
This is a long non-coding RNA of Sapajus apella (tufted capuchin), 863 nucleotides long. RefSeq lists it as uncharacterized. The transcript has 2 exons. The record is from RefSeq and is a predicted model, not a curated record. Lineage: Eukaryota; Metazoa; Chordata; Mammalia; Primates; Cebidae.